UGAGUAAUGCAUCGGAACGUAUCCUGUAAUGGGGGGAUAACGUAGCGAAAGUUACGCUAAUACCGCAUACGCUCGAGAGAGGAAAGUGGGGGAUCGCAAGACCUCACGUUAUAGGAGCGGCCGAUGUCCGAUUAGCUAGUUGGUGGGGUAAAGGCCUACCAAGGCGACGAUCGGUAGCUGGUCUGAGAGGAUGAUCAGCCACACUGGGACUGAGACUACGGCCCAGACUCCUACGGGAGGCAGCAGUGGGGAAUUUUGGACAAUGGGCGAAAGCCUGAUCCAGCCAUGCCGCGUGCGGGAAGAAGGCCUUCGGGUUGUUAAACCGCUUUAGUCCGGGAAAAAGGGGUGCGAGGAUAAUACCCUCGUGCUUUGAUGGUACUGGAAGGAAUAAGCACCGGCUAACUACGUG
RNAcentral lists this ribosomal RNA (409 nucleotides) under uncultured bacterium. Its description in RNAcentral is "bacterial SSU rRNA". It matches the Rfam family "Bacterial small subunit ribosomal RNA", at positions 107 to 507 of the family's 1533-position model. The record is from RNAcentral.